Molecule: ribosomal RNA, 820 nt
Filed under: uncultured bacterium
Lineage: Bacteria
Description: bacterial SSU rRNA
Rfam family: Bacterial small subunit ribosomal RNA
Source: RNAcentral
AGAGUUUGAUCAUGGCUCAGAACGAACGCUGGCGGCAGGCUUAACACAUGCAAGUCGAACGCAUCCUUCGGGGUGAGUGGCAGACGGGGGAGUAACGCGUGGGAACGUGCCCUUCAGUUCGGGAUAACCCAGGGAAACUUGGGCUAAUACCGGAUACGUGCGAGAGCAGAAAGAUUUAUCGCUGAAGGAUCGGCCCGCGUCUGAUUAGCUGGUUGGUAGGGUAAUGGCCUACCAAGGCGACGAUCAGUAGCUGGUCUGAGAGGAUGAUCAGCCACAUUGGGACUGAGACACGGCCCAAACUCCUACGGGAGGCAGCAGUGGGGAAUAUUGGACAAUGGGCGCAAGCCUGAUCCAGCCAUGCCGCGUGAGUGAUGAAGGCCUUAGGGUUGUAAAGCUCUUUCGUCCGGGACGAUAAUGACGGUACCGGAAGAAGAAGCCCCGGCUAACUUCGUGCCAGCAGCCGCGGUAAUACGAAGGGGGCUGGCGUUGUUCGGAAUCACUGGGCGUAAAGGGCGCGUAGGCGGCUUUGUAAGUCGGGGGUGAAAGCCUGUGGCUCAACCACAGAAUUGCCUUCGAUACUGCAUGGCUUGAGACCGGAAGAGGUAAGUGGAACUGCGAGUGUAGAGGUGAAAUUCGUAGAUAUUCGCAAGAACACCAGUGGCGAAGGCGGCUUACUGGUCCGGUUCUGACGCUGAGGCGCGAAAGCGUGGGGGAGCAAACAGGAUUAGAUACCCUGGUAGUCCACGCCGUAAACGAUGAAUGCCAGCCGUUGGCGAGCUUGCUCGUCAGUGGCGCAGCUAACGCUUUAAGCAUUCCGCCU